CCUACGGGAGGCAGCAGUGAGGAAUAUUGGUCAAUGGACGAGAGUCUGAACCAGCCAAGUAGCGUGAAGGAUGACUGCCCUAUGGGUUGUAAACUUCUUUUAUAUGGGAAUAAAACGUUCCACGUGUGGGAUUUUGUAUGUACCAUAUGAAUAAGGAUCGGCUAACUCCGUGCCAGCAGCCGCGGUAAUACGGAGGAUCCGAGCGUUAUCCGGAUUUAUUGGGUUUAAAGGGAGCGUAGGUGGAUUGUUAAGUCAGUUGUGAAAGUUUGCGGCUCAACCGUAAAAUUGCAGUUGAAACUGGCAGUCUUGAGUACAGUAGAGGUGGGCGGAAUUCGUGGUGUAGCGGUGAAAUGCUUAGAUAGCACGAAGAACUCCGAUUGCGAAGGCAGUUCACUGGACUGCAACUGACACUGAGGCGCGAAAGUGUGGGUAUCAAACAGGAUUAGAUACCCCUGUAGUC
RNAcentral lists this ribosomal RNA (460 nucleotides) under uncultured bacterium. Its description in RNAcentral is "partial 16S ribosomal RNA". It matches the Rfam family "Bacterial small subunit ribosomal RNA", at positions 338 to 795 of the family's 1533-position model. The record is from RNAcentral.